RNAcentral lists this ribosomal RNA (251 nucleotides) under uncultured bacterium. RNAcentral's name for it is "partial 16S ribosomal RNA". It matches the Rfam family "Bacterial small subunit ribosomal RNA", at positions 85 to 339 of the family's 1533-position model. The record is from RNAcentral.
CCGGCGACGAGUGGCGGACGGGUGAGUAAUGCUUGGGAAUUUGCCUAGUAGUGGGGGACAACACGGGGAAACUCGUGCUAAUACCGCAUACGCCCUACGGGGGAAAGCGGGGGAUCUUCGGACCUUGCACUAUUGGAUGAGCCUAUGUCUGAUUAGCUUGUUGGUGGGGUAAAAGCCUACCAAGGCGACGAUCCAUAACUGGUCUGAGAGGAUGAUCAGUCACACUGGAACUGAGACACGGUCCAGACUCC